GUGUCAGCCGCCGCGGUAAUACGUAGGGAGCAAGCGUUGUCCGGAUUUAUUGGGCGUAAAGCGCGCGUAGGCGGUUCGGUAAGUCGGGUGUGAAAACUCCAAGCUCAACUUGGAGCCUGCAUUCGAAACUGCUGUGACUAGAGUCAGGUAGGGGAACACGGAAUUCCAGGUGUAGCGGUGAAAUGCUUAGAUAUCUGGAGGAACACCAGUGGCGAAGGCGGUGUUCUGGGCCUGUACUGACGCUGAUGCGCGAAAGCGUGGGGAGCGAACAGGAUUAGAAACCCUCGUAGUCC
This 293-nucleotide ribosomal RNA is filed under the name uncultured bacterium. RNAcentral's name for it is "partial 16S ribosomal RNA". It matches the Rfam family "Bacterial small subunit ribosomal RNA", at positions 505 to 796 of the family's 1533-position model. The record is from RNAcentral.